CAGUAGCCGCGGUAAUACGGAGGGGGCUAGCGUUGUUCGGAAUUACCGGGCGUAAAGCGCACGUAGGCGGCUUGGUAAGUUAGAGGUGAAAGCCUGGAGCUCAACUCCAGAAUUGCCUUUAAGACUGCCGAGCUAGCAGGUGAGAGAGGUAAGUGGAAUUCCGAGUGUAGAGGUGAAAUUCGUAGAUAUUCGGAAGAACACCAGUGGCGAAGGCGGCUUACUGGCUCAUACUGGACGCUGAGGUGCGAAAGCGUGGGGAGCAAACAGGAUUAGAUACCCCAGUAGUCCCUGUCUCUUAUAC
This 301-nucleotide ribosomal RNA is filed under the name uncultured bacterium. RNAcentral's name for it is "partial 16S ribosomal RNA". It matches the Rfam family "Bacterial small subunit ribosomal RNA", at positions 509 to 807 of the family's 1533-position model. The record is from RNAcentral.